CCCUGUGACCCCGCAGACCGGCAGUUCAACACCUUGAUCCCGUGGUGUUUGCCCCACACCGGCAAUCGCCACAACCACUGGGCCGGGCUCUACGGCCGCCUCGAGUGGGACGGCUUCUUCAGCACCACCGUCACCAACCCCGAGCCCAUGGGCAAGCAGGUGGGCCCUGACCUUUCACCUUUGACCCCUGGCCUUUCACCCUAACCCUGGCCCUAAUCCUGAUCCCAAUGCUGCUCCCGACCCUGACCUGACCUGAGCCUAAACCAACACUGAGCCUGUGGACAAGCAGGUUGGUCCUGACCUUUGACCCCUGACCAUUGACCCCUGACCGUUGACCCCUGACCGUUGACCCCUGAUCUUUGACCCGAACACUAACCCUAAUCCUGACCCCUGAUCCUGACCCUAGCCCUGACCCCAAUGCUGCUCCCGACCCUGACCUGACCUGAGCCUAAACCAACCCCGAGCCCAUGGACAAACAGGGCCGCGUCCUUCACCCCGAGCAGCACCGCGUGGUGAGCGUCCGUGAGUGCGCGCGCUCGCAGGGCUUCCCCGACACCUAUCGCCUCUUUGGGAACAUCCUGGACAAACACCGACAGGUGGGGAACGCCGUGCCGCCGCCCCUCGCCAAAGCCAUCGGGUUGGAGAUCCGUGCCUGCGUCCGAGCCAGGAUGAGGGAGGAGAGCGGAGCCAG
This is a long non-coding RNA of Lagopus leucura (white-tailed ptarmigan), 691 nucleotides long. RefSeq lists it as uncharacterized. NCBI's taxonomy places the organism in Eukaryota, Metazoa, Chordata, Aves, Galliformes, Phasianidae. The record is from RefSeq and is a predicted model, not a curated record. The transcript has 3 exons.